AGGCGUAGUCGAUGGGAAACAGGUUAAUAUUCCUGUACUUGGUGUUACUGCGAAGGGGGGACGGAGAAGGCUAUGUUGGCCGGGCGACGGUUGUCCCGGUUUAAGCGUGUAGGCUGGUUUUCCAGGCAAAUCCGGAAAAUCAAGGCUGAGGCGUGAUGACGAGGCACUACGGUGCUGAAGCAACAAAUGCCCUGCUUCCAGGAAAAGCCUCUAAGCAUCAGGUAACAUCAAAUCGUACCCCAAACCGACACAGGUGGUCAGGUAGAGAAUACCAAGGCGCUUGAGAGAACUCGGGUGAAGGAACUAGGCAAAAUGGUGCCGUAACUUCGGGAGAAGGCACGCUGAUAUGUAGGUGAGGUCCCUCGCGGAUGGAGCUGAAA
This 380-nucleotide ribosomal RNA is filed under the name Vibrio sp. FNV 38. RNAcentral describes it as "partial 23S ribosomal RNA". It matches the Rfam family "Bacterial large subunit ribosomal RNA", at positions 1407 to 1782 of the family's 2925-position model. Lineage: Bacteria; Pseudomonadati; Pseudomonadota; Gammaproteobacteria; Vibrionales; Vibrionaceae. The record is from RNAcentral.